GAGUGGCGAACGGGUGAGUAACACGUGGACAACCUGCCUCAAGGCUGGGGAUAACAUUUGGAAACAGAUGCUAAUACCGAAUAAAACUUAGUAUCGCAUGAUACCAGGUUAAAAGGCGCUACGGCGUCACCUAGAGAUGGAUCCGCGGUGCAUUAGUUAGUUGGUGGGGUAAAGGCCUACCAAGACAAUGAUGCAUAGCCGAGUUGAGAGACUGAUCGGCCACAUUGGGACUGAGACACGGCCCAAACUCC
Molecule: ribosomal RNA, 251 nt
Filed under: uncultured Leuconostoc sp.
Lineage: Bacteria; Bacillati; Bacillota; Bacilli; Lactobacillales; Lactobacillaceae
Description: partial 16S ribosomal RNA
Rfam family: Bacterial small subunit ribosomal RNA
Source: RNAcentral